Molecule: ribosomal RNA, 1417 nt
Filed under: uncultured bacterium
Lineage: Bacteria
Description: bacterial SSU rRNA
Rfam family: Bacterial small subunit ribosomal RNA
Source: RNAcentral
GGCCAGACAACAUAUAGGGCGAAUGAAUUAGCGGCGCGAAUCGCCCUUAGAGUUUGAUCCUGGCUCAGGACGAACGCUGGCGGCGCGCCUAACACAUGCAAGUCGAACGAGCGAGAGAGAGCUUGCUUUCUCAAGCGAGUGGCGAACGGGUGAGUAACGCGUGAGGAACCUGCCUCAAAGAGGGGGACAACAGUUGGAAACGACUGCUAAUACCGCAUAAGCCCACAGCUCGGCAUCGAGCAGAGGGAAAAGGAGUGAUCCGCUUUGAGAUGGCCUCGCGUCCGAUUAGCUAGUUGGUGAGGUAACGGCCCACCAAGGCGACGAUCGGUAGCCGGACUGAGAGGUUGAACGGCCACAUUGGGACUGAGACACGGCCCAGACUCCUACGGGAGGCAGCAGUGGGGAAUAUUGCACAAUGGGGGAAACCCUGAUGCAGCGACGCCGCGUGGAGGAAGAAGGUCUUCGGAUUGUAAACUCCUGUUGUUGAGGAAGAUAAUGACGGUACUCAACAAGGAAGUGACGGCUAACUACGUGCCAGCAGCCGCGGUAAAACGUAGGUCACAAGCGUUGUCCGGAAUUACUGGGUGUAAAGGGAGCGCAGGCGGGAAAGCAAGUUGGAAGUGAAAUCCAUGGGCUCAACCCAUGAACUGCUUUCAAAACUGUUUUUCUUGAGUAGUGCAGAGUAGGCGGAAUUCCCGGUGUAGCGGUGGAAUGCGUAGAUAUCGGGAGGAACACCAGUGGCGAAGGCGGCCUACUGGGCACCAACUGACGCUGAGGCUCGAAAGUGUGGGUAGCAAACAGGAUUAGAUACCCUGGUAGUCCACACUGUAAACGAUGAUUACUAGGUGUUGGAGGAUUGACCCCUUCAGUACCGCAGUUAACACAAUAAGUAAUCCACCUGGGGAGUACGACCGCAAGGUUGAAACUCAAAGGAAUUGACGGGGGCCCGCACAAGCAGUGGAGUAUGUGGUUUAAUUCGACGCAACGCGAAGAACCUUACCAAGUCUUGACAUCCUGCGACGGUGCUGGAAACAGUACUUUCCUUCGGGACGCAGAGACAGGUGGUGCAUGGUUGUCGUCAGCUCGUGUCGUGAGAUGUUGGGUUAAGUCCCGCAACGAGCGCAACCCUUAUGGUCAGUUACUACGCAAGAGGACUCUGGCCAGACUGCCGUUGACAAAACGGAGGAAGGUGGGGAUGACGUCAAAUCAUCAUGCCCUUUAUGACUUGGGCUACACACGUACUACAAUGGCGUUAAACAAAGAGAAGCGAGACCGCGAGGUGGAGCAAAACUCAGAAACAACGUCCCAGUUCGGACUGCAGGCUGCAACUCGCCUGCGCGAAGUCGGAAUUGCUAGUAAUCGCAGAUCGGCAUGCUGCGGUGAAUACGUUCCNCGGGCCUUGUACACACCGCCCGUC